RNAcentral lists this ribosomal RNA (498 nucleotides) under Bacillus sp. PSu4_39. Its description in RNAcentral is "bacterial SSU rRNA". It matches the Rfam family "Bacterial small subunit ribosomal RNA", at positions 57 to 536 of the family's 1533-position model. Lineage: Bacteria; Bacillati; Bacillota; Bacilli; Caryophanales; Bacillaceae. The record is from RNAcentral.
GCAAGUCGAGCGGACAGAUGGGAGCUUGCUCCCUGAUGUUAGCGGCGGACGGGUGAGUAACACGUGGGUAACCUGCCUGUAAGACUGGGAUAACUCCGGGAAACCGGGGCUAAUACCGGAUGCUUGAUUGAACCGCAUGGUUCAAUUAUAAAAGGUGGCUUUUAGCUACCACUUACAAAUGGACCCCCGGCGCAUUACCUAGUUGGUGAGGUAACGGCUCACCAAGGCAACAAUGCGUAGCCAACCUGAAAGGGUGAUCGGCCACACUGGGACUGAAACACGGCCCAAACUCCUACGGGAGGCAGCAUUAGGGAAUCUUCCGCAAUGGACAAAAGUCUGACGGACCAACGCCCCGUGAGUGAUGAAGGUUUUCGAAUCGUAAAACUCUGUUGUUAGGGAAAAACAAUUACCGUUCAAAUAGGGCGGUACCUUGACGGUACCUAACCAAAAAGCCACGGCUAACUACUUGCCACCACCCGCGGUAAUACUUAGGUGGCA